Molecule: ribosomal RNA, 248 nt
Filed under: uncultured bacterium
Lineage: Bacteria
Description: partial 16S ribosomal RNA
Rfam family: Bacterial small subunit ribosomal RNA
Source: RNAcentral
GACCAUGGCUCAGGAUGAACGCUAGCUACAGGCUUAACACAUGCAAGUCGAGGGGCAUCAGUUUGGUUUGCUUGCAAACCAAAGCUGGCGACCGGCGCACGGGUGAGUAACACGUAUCCAACCUGCCUCAUACUCGGGGAUAGCCUUUCGAAAGAAAGAUUAAUAUCCGAUAGCAUAUAUUUCCCGCAUGGGUUUUAUAUUAAAGAAAUUCGGUAUGAGAUGGGGAUGCGUUCCAUUAGUUUGUUGGG